UCGUCGGCUGGUUUUUGACAGAAAAAUUGCGCCGGGCUGCUAUUUUUCUGUUGGUAAAACUGGCCUCUGAACUUUUUUUCGGUUCCGACUCGUCGGUUUUUGCGGGUUUUCGUUCCACGGGACGCCAGACUGGCAGUGUAGCUUGCGCAAUGCAUUCGCUAUGAGGCGAACUUGACGACGCGAACCGAAAUCCCGCAGGAACCGAAAAAACGUCGGAAUUCAUGCUAGUGUAGCUUAGGCUUUAGGCACAUUUCAAUUCAAAUUUGAAUUUGCUUCUCUCACUUCUGUGGGUCUUGGAGUUGUGGAUAUAUUUUGUGGAGCGCGGAGAAUCGGGGAUUUGUGGAGUAUUGGAUUGACGUUUUCUUGGUGUUUUUUUAAAGGGACUAUCCCACCUUCUAAAAUGUUGUUAAAACCAGUUAAAUUGUGCCCGACUUUAUAGAUUGGAUGACCAGGAACACGGUUCUGGCAUUUAUUUUUCAUUAAACAUCUUAGGCUUCCCAUAUUCCAAACACAAACUUUCAAAUAUGUGACGUCACAGCCCAAAAUUACCUCCUUCCCCAGGCCACAUUACUGUCAUAAAGCUGAUUCUUUUUACUCUGUAGGCACCACAACAAAGUUCAGACCAAGUUUUAAGCGAUUUUUCAACGAACAAACCCAUUUAAAUCAGAAUGACUAAACGAGGUGACAUCACACUAACGGUCGCUCCAUGUUGAAGAUAGGGCCUUGUACAAGGCCCAUUUUCAAAUGAAGGGAACAAAUUUCUUCAACACCAAGAGGCCGCUGGGGUUGCAACCUAGAUAGAUAGUGGUUUCUGAACCUCGCCGCAAACUUGGCUAUCUCAACUCAAACCCCAUGUUAAAGGUGGGAUAGUCCCUUUAAAAAGAUAUUUUCAUAGGCUACAAAUGCCACCAGGAAGACCAAGACCAAGACAGUGCUCAUGCCCAAAUCAUCGGCAACACAGGAUGGCAAACUUCGCCUCCCCUGGCUUGUAUGAAGCCUUGAUUUCCAUUUAAGGAAGUAAGUCUGUGCCCAUAUGGAUGAUGCACGUGUUGGGCAUUUUUGCAAAACAAAGCAGUUGAAAGGGUUCAUUUGCCGAGGCCGUAUGGAGUACGCCAAGCAAUGUCAUGCUGAUGGGGAGACGUGAGUAUGACAAUGAAACAGACUACAAUUCUUGGCAAAAGGGCUAGCCAAAUGCAUCAUUGAGUUUGACAAUUCUGUACCAGUCAUUGUCAAGCUGGAAAUCUGGGUAACGGUAAAGCUGGGGUCACUGUUAGCAUAUAGGUAUCAGUCGGGCAAACUGCAGGGAGGUAAUCUAAAAUAAGAUUUAUCUAAUUUAAGAAUAUGACGUCACCCAAAUGUGCUGAGUGAUGGCCAUAUAAGGAGUGAUGAUCAAUAUUUAGACUAUAUUCCCGACAUGUCCACAUUUGAACCCUCCACAACCAUCGAAGAACUGCUCAUAACCACAAUAUUUGUUUUGCUGACUGACAUACAAAACAUGAUCCUACAAAUUGUGAACUGGCCAGCUCAUUUGAGAUUGGAAUUUGUCACUGGUGACCAAGAUAUUUGGGCAUUAGUAGAGCAGAUGUUACACAGAGGUUUUACAACUGAGGAGAAUUAGUGCUCAUAUGCUUCUUGCUUCCAGAGAUGCUUCUUUUUAACACCAAACCAAACCUUACCUGACAUAAUCUAACCUACAAGUCAGCAUACAAACUAAAACCCUACAACCUACAAACCUACAGCUGUGCCUCUCCUUGGUUGGAAACCCUUCCUAUGAGCAUCCUGCUCUCUUUGCUUAUUUAUCUACUUGGUAAGCAAAAGCGCCUUCAUUUGACAUCUGCUCUACUAGACUAGUGCCGUUAAUUGUAAUUUGUAACCUAACCAAACCUAACCUAACCCAAACCCUGCUCAUAACUGUGAUAAGUUGCAGUCCUAACUCCUAACAUCACUUUGAUUCUCCUCAGCCAAUUACAUCAAGAGGGAGACCACACUGACAGGGGUCCAAGAUCCAGCUCAGGCCCUACUGUAAGUGUGGAUGUCCUGACCUGUAGCCAGAAGCACUGCCACUGGAGCACAGCAGCUAAUUCCCUAUCUUCCUUCCAGCUCCACAAUGGUCUGCAUUUCUGCAAUGGUCUCAACAGGCCUAACUGAACACAAAAGUCAUUUUCACUUGCUAACAGUUUAAGACUAAUAUUAUUCUAAAAACGGUUGUAAAGCAAUGUAUAAUGAAAUAGAUAUACGGUGUAUAUGAAUAGAAUUAGGUGUGCUGAGACUUGUACUUUAUGAACUUGAACAGUGAACACUAGAGUAACUAAUUCAACGAUUUCUUGUUAUUCAGACUGUCCGCCAGCGGACGGAGGCCCGGCGACGGACGUCGGCUCAAUGGCCAACAGUGGUCCGCCCGCCGGCUGAUGGUGGCUCGCCGACCGACGCCGGCCCGUCGGCUGACCACGGCAUUCCGGCUGAUGGUGGCCCGCCCGCCGACGGAGGUCCGCCGGCCAUUCGUGGCACGCCCGCCGACGGCAGCUCGACGACACGUCCUGGCUAUGUCACCCCCAAGAUUACUUCGCCCCCCAGUCCCUAGGUCACCAGUUGCGGGCGCUCCAUCUGACGGUGUCGUCCGACGGCUCCACGGUGACCAGCGCCGCCACUGCGGAAACCAUCCGACCCCGAAAAUGCUGCUAGCCGUACACGAACAAAGGGCGCCGGGCACCCAGGACCAGCGCCCUGCUCCGAGGCGGUGUCCAAAGAAGGCUGCACAGUGCACUUACUGUGCUAAGGCAUAGUGCCCGCUGACUGAUAGGAACAAAUGACGGUCAGUUAUCAGAUUUCAGUAUGGAACUCAAGAUGGUCGGAGCCGACCUGGCUCGGUGGAUGGUGUGCCAGGGUUGAUUAAGUGUCGAAAGGAGUGAGACGCCCAGAUAUGUGAAGGAUACGUCGAUACGAGCCCCGGCUUCGACUCGCCGUCCCAAAACGAUGUUGGUUGUGAUUGGAGGAUCCCCCACCCCCACCCCACCCACCCCGGAAUUUGUGCUUUGUAAUAGGACGAUAAUAUGUCGUGGUCUCAUUCUGGCUCGAUAUGGUAAUAGGUACUUAAUUGGACAGAUGUUGAUGGUAUUGGUGGUGGAUGUUAAUGGCAGGUUUGGCGAGCGCGAAUUAAUAAUCGUGAGUGCACUAGCUGCAAUCAGUCGCGCGCUUAUUGCAGAGCACCUGUGAGCAAGAAAAUUAUAUGAAUGUGGUAGUUUGUCGUGAAAUCUGUGUACUUUUGGAUUAAGUUGUCAGAACAUAAGUGUAUUUUUGCCCUGUCCACGGCAGCUCUGAAACAGAAACAUGGAGAUCGGCUGUGUCAUGUGUGCUGUAGCUGCGGGGGCAAGUAGUCCGCGCGUGCCAAAAAAUCAAAGGUGGUAUGUGAAUUUAAGUGAAUAUACCUCGCUAUAUUUUCAA
Molecule: long non-coding RNA, 3441 nt
Filed under: Amphibalanus amphitrite
Lineage: Eukaryota; Metazoa; Arthropoda; Thecostraca; Balanomorpha; Balanidae
Description: uncharacterized LOC122387619
Source: RNAcentral